GAUCCUUCUUCAGGCGAGCGUUGGACACAAAUGGCUGGAAUUCUCUACAGCAGCCAUUCUCAUGAUGGAGGCCCAAAAUCAGGUGUCCAAGGCCUGUCGCGACGUUUCGGAUUUUCUGAUCCUUCUUCAGGCGAGCGUUGGACACAAAUGGCUGGAAUUCUCUACAGCAGCCAUUCUCAUGAUGGAGGCCCAAAAUCAGGUGUCCAAGGCCUGUCGCGACGUUUCGGAUUUUCUGAUCCUUCUUCAGGCGAGCGUUGGACACAAAUGGCUGGAAUUCUCUACAGCAGCCAUUCUCAUGAUGGAGGCCCAAAAUCAGGUGUCCAAGGCCUGUCGCGACGUUUCGGAUUUUCUGAUCCUUCUUCAGGCGAGCGUUGGACACAAAUGGCUGGAAUUCUCUACAGCAGAGGGUUAGGGUUAGGAAUGAAUGAAAUCCAGAAGCUGAAACAUGGUUCAACCUCGGUAAAUGCACUGUCCUUCUUAUACUCCUGAUGGCCACCUGUUUACUGGACACCACUCUUCGACUUCCAGGGGCCCAAAAACAUCUUUCUGUUGAUGCAAAAAAUCCCAAAAUGGGGUUAGGGUUAGGUUAGGGUUAGGGUUAGGGUUAGGUUAGGUUAGGUUAGGGUUAGGGUUAGGGUUAGAGUUAGGGUUAGGGUUAGGGUUAGGUUAGGGUUAGGGUUAGGGUUAGGUUAGGGUUAGGGUUAGGGUUAGGGUUAGGGUUAGGGUUAGGGUUAGGGUUAGGGUUAGGGUUAGGGUUAGGGUUAGGGUUAGGGUUAGGGUUAGGGUUAGGGUUAGGGUUAGGGUUAGGGUUAGGGUUAGGGUUAGGGUUAGGGUUAGGGUUAGGGUUAGGGUUAGGUUAGGUUAGGGUUAGGGUUAGGGUUAGGGUUAGGGUUAGGGUUAGGGUUAGGGUUAGGGUUAGGGUUAGGGUUAGGGUUAGGGUUAGGGUUAGGGUUAGGGUUAGGGUUAGGGUUAGGGUUAGGGUUAGGGUUAGGGUUAGGGUUGGUUAGAUUAGGGUUAGGUUAGGGUUAGGGUUAGAGUUAGAGUUAGGGUUGGGAUUAGGGGUUAGGGGUUAGGGUUAGGGUUAGGGUUAGGGUUAGGGUUAGAGUUAGGGUUAGGUUAGGUUAGGUUAGGGUUAGGGUUAGGGUUAGGGUUAGGGUUAGGAAUGAAUGAAAUCCAGAGGCUGAAACAUAGUUCAACCUCGGUAAAUGCACUGUCCUUCUUAUACUCCUGAUGGCCACCUGUUUACUGGACACCACUCUUCGACUUCCAGGGGCCCAAAAAUAUUUUUCUGUUGAUGCAAAAAAUCCCAAAAUGGGGCUAGAGAGCUUAGGGCUCUUUCUCCUAGGUCUGCACAGCAACUGUGGCUGGUAGGUUUAGUGUGUGUGGGGCAGUUCACGUUUCCCCAAAGAAAUAAACAUUGUGCAUGUCACUUCAUCGGUGUAGAUGAAGGAAAUAAAUUUUAUUUGACUCUCUUGUCUUUUAAAUACACUUUGUGUGACUCUCUUCUCAUAUGUGUGGCUCUCUACAUCACCCAGUCUCAUGAUGGAGGCCCAAAAUCGGUGUCCAAGGCCUGUCGC
Long non-coding RNA from Cyprinus carpio carpio, 1577 nucleotides. The record is from Ensembl. NCBI's taxonomy places the organism in Eukaryota, Metazoa, Chordata, Actinopteri, Cypriniformes, Cyprinidae.